Molecule: long non-coding RNA, 3489 nt
Organism: Mus musculus (house mouse)
Lineage: Eukaryota; Metazoa; Chordata; Mammalia; Rodentia; Muridae
Product: predicted gene 28077
Exons: 2
Source: RefSeq, a predicted model, not a curated record
GGGAUUAAAUGCAUUUGCCACCACCACCUGGCACCUAUCCCUUCCUAUAUAGAAAAUAUAUUGAGCAUCACAGACUAUAUUUAAAUGUUAGAGCAGCUCUCUUAAUAAUAUUCUAUUACAAGUUAGAAAAAACCCCUAAUAAUAUCCUAAUCUUAAUAAGAAAAAAAAACUCUAAAAUUCCUAGAUGGUAUGGAAAUUAUAACUUCUUUUUUUGAAGGAGUAUCUUUGCACCAAUAUUUUCUUGCCCAUUGCAUAAUUAAUACAUUUAUCCCUACCAUGAACUGUAACCAGCCCCCUGCUCUGUUGAUUCUGAGUUCCCAGAACAACUUCACACACUGGUUCCUAUGGCUGCCACAAACCCACUUUAGAUGGCAUAUUAGCACUCCAUUCCACAGAGGAGGGAAUUGAGGCCCAGAGAAUUUAAAGAAGUUGACCAAGCUAUGGAGUUAAUAAGCACUGGGGUCCUUAGAGUCCCAGCAUGAGUAAUGGCAACACCUGGGUCCCAUUGAUCACACUAAACAAAACAGACAGAAGAAUAACCCCUAAAUCUUUGGGUAUCUCAAUCUGUUGAGAAGAAAGAGUCUGCUAUCCGGGCACACCCUAAGGCACCCUGGAAAGAGAAGUCACAGAGGAUGUGGUUUGGUGAAAGUCAGACCUAGACCCACAAGCAGGUCCUCUAUGGCCACCUGCGAAGGAAGAAGCAACAGAAGAGUUUGCCAGCUAGAGUGUGGCCCAGAUCUAGGACAAAAAGUGACCCUUGGGGUGUUCUUCUUCAGGGGUCUCUUGAUCCUCCUCCCUGCUUCUGAUCCUACCUGGGCCAGGCCAGCCAGAAGUUCGUGCUGCUGACCCCAGCCCUGCACUGCGUCUGGCAGCAGGAGUGGAGCGGCACUGGGUACAGCUUGAGAGUGAUUUAAGCACUCCUCCAGCUCAAAGGGGAAUCUUGGAUUUCAUUAAUUAAUACAUCAAUAGAAGCCAAUGGAGAAAAACAUGUCUUGUUAUCUGGCUGCUCAGAUGCUAGACAUGGGCUCAUUAGCCUUAAGCAUAUCAGCCCGAUAACACUAUUUAUUCCAUACGGAAUAAUGAUCUACUUUGGAGGAAUACUGCAGUGAGCCGAAAGGCCGAGUCCAUCCGUUACCACUGCUCCUGGCACAGGCGUACGGUAUCGCCAUCCUUCACGAGCAAACACGUGGUGCGUGUGCACAGGAUUGCCAGUCCCUGUCUUUGACCCUUUGAUGUGCCACACCCAUGCAUUGCUCCCCACAACACCCCCCCAUGCAUUGCUAGACUGUCACCCGCUUCAGAAAUGAGAGGAAGAAACCCCCAGCCAAGGUCACACCUAUUCAAAUAGGGGUCAUAGAGACAAAAGAAUCAGUUCUGUGAAGAUCCACUGAGGUUUCAGGUCCCAUUCCGGGAGGGAGAGUAGGGAAAGCCACACAAGGAAGAAAAGAAAGGGGUAGUCAGUCCUCGGCCACUGUGCAAAGAAGAGAAGGCUACCUAACAUUCAGGCACUAUGAUUUCUGUUUUCAAUUACGUGGUCUGCUUAAUGGCGCUAUCUUUGAAGGGAGCCAAUAGAAUUAUGGUGCAGUCUUAAACCAGUCAGCCUUGAAAAGAGUACAUGAAAACAACCAGAAUGAUGGUUGCUGGUGGUUGUUUCUGAUGGUGCAGUGCAUGUCUGUAAUCCCAGCUCUCAGGGAGCUUAGGUGGGAGGAUUAUAAGUUCAAGGCCAGCCUGGGCCACACAGUGAGAUGCUAUCUUAGAACAAAAGUUCAUAAGCAUAACUUGUUCUGUUAGUCUCACACAAUGCUGAUGCAAGACACCGAGCGUGCAGUAAAGGCAGCCUUUGGGACAAAUGAUGGUUCUGUCAGUGGAAAAAAAGGUUUUAGACACUGGUGUCCAGUAGGCACUAGCACCCCAUGCUACAAGGUCAAUAGCUGAUGCAGGGCAAGUCAUGUCUAAAAAAAAUUUCUCUGUGGAACUUGUGGCUUUCUAUCCUUCAGUCCUUCUGAUCUCCCAAUCCACCCAACUACACAAAAAUGUGGAGGCCAGUGACCUAUUUUGGCAUCCAUCAGUCAAGCCUCAUGGUAAGAACUCCGAUUCCACUCCUGUGGUUAUUCCAAGCAAGCACAGAAAAGAAUCAAAAACCUUGUCCCAGAGCCCUCCUGGUCAAGGAGACAAUAUGUGCCCUAAGACGGUCAUCAUUUGCCAAGUCAGUUCUGAGAAUGCAUGGUCUCCUGGAAGGCGCUGGAGCCAAUGGGAAGUUCCAGGAAAAGGGUCAGAGUCUUCCAGGAACAACUGAAGGUGGAAGCCAGAGCUUCUCAGACCGAACCUUGAAACUCUGGCUGGGCAACUUUCAGUGACAUUCAGAUCAGCCGUGGUGGGCAGGGCUGGGAGCAGGACAUCAGAGGCAUACCUGCUGAGGGGUUCAGCUCUCCUGCCUUGAGCAUAGAGACUCAUCCCUGGUGCAAGCAGAAGGACAUCCUUCAGGACAACAAGGUCCGAAUACUACAGACAGUCAUCUUGUUUAUGAAAGGGAGGGAAGAGACAUUUGGGAACAAGGAUAUGUGUUCCCACCUUGACUGUGGGCCUUUGUACAAACUCUGGCAAGGGGAUGAGUCAGUCUUAUGCCUGAAACCAGGUGUUGUCUUGGUGUUACUAAAAGUACCAUAUAGUUCGCAGUGAUGACUCCCUGGAGGGACGUGUGAAUAUUACUUCCCAGCUCACCAUGACAGCCGAAGGAAAGGGCCAUGGUGUUUAGUGGCAACAGUUCAAUACUGAGGCAGCACAAUGUCCAAGGCAGCCUCUUUGUACUCCAGACAAUAAAAAGGAACACAAACAAAGAGCUUUGGGAUGCAGCAGCAGCAAUGGGCAAAGAACUGUCUCCAAGGGUCAUUAAAAAAUAAUAUUUUUCCAAAUUAAUAAAAUGCAACCGUCCACACUCGGGACCAACAGCUUGUAAAAUUGGAUUUCUGAACGAUGAAAGGGUAAAGGCGAACAGCCCGGUCAGAAGCUGCUCACCAGAGGUGUUGGCAAGAAGGGGCCUGCCAAGGAGGCACAAAUGAGUGGCUUGCACAUUGACACUAACAUGCCUUUUCUGCCCAACAUGACAGUUCCUGAAUUCUACCAACUAGAGGGCCUGAGUGGUAGGAGAGAUAAGGGUUUCCCUGUCUUCACCCUUUAGGCCCCUAUAUUGGAGAGUGAGGGACAGGUCCUAAGGUCCAAGCCAAACAAAAGCAUCGUCAAGUCACCAGGGUCAUUCUAGGUCUCUGAGAUGGGAUGCAAAAUCUUGAAGUAUUUCUCUGUCUCUUUCACAACACCGAGCUUCUACACCGAACAAGUACAUGUCCAGAAUGGAGAAGCUCCUCAUAUACAUUUAAACACUGAACUGAAGAGAGAACAGAUGACAUCAUCCUAUUCGGUACCUAGUCCGAUGUCCCUUGGGAGCUGAAGGUCAGUAGAAAGCUGCCUUGCUGUCUUUAUAAAAAAAGAAAA